GGAAUUUUUCGCAAUGGGGGCAACCCUGACGAAGCAACGCCGCGUGGAGGAUGAAGGCCUUCGGGUUGUAAACUCCUGUCGACCGGGACGAAAGCAGUUCGGCCUACUACGUCGAGCUGUUGACUGUACCGGUGGAGGAAGCCACGGCUACCUCGGUGCCCGCAGCCGCGGUAAUACAGAGGUGGCAAGCGUUGUUCGGAAUUACUGGGCGUAAAGGGCGCGCAGGCGGCCCGUUAAGGCCCGUGUGAAAUCCCUCGGCUCAACUGAGGAACCGCACGGGAAACUGGCAGGCUUGAGUUCGGGAGAGGGAAGUGGAAUUCCGGGUGUAGCGGUGAAAUGCGUAGAUAUCCGGAGGAACACCGGUGGCGAAGGCGGCCUCCUGGACCGAUCACUGACGCUGAGGCGCGAAAGCUAGGGGAGCAAA
Molecule: ribosomal RNA, 424 nt
Filed under: uncultured bacterium
Lineage: Bacteria
Description: bacterial SSU rRNA
Rfam family: Bacterial small subunit ribosomal RNA
Source: RNAcentral